ACGAACGCUGGCGGCGUGCUUAACACAUGCAAGUCGAACGGAAAGGCCCCUUUGGGGGUACUCGAGUGGCGAACGGAUGAGUAACACGUGAGUAACCUGCCCUUGACUUCGGGAUAACUUCAGGAAACUGGGGCUAAUACCGGAUAGGAAUCCUUGCUGCAUGGUGGGGGUUGGAAAGCUUCGGGGGUUUUGGAUGGACUCGCGGCUUAUCAGCUUGUUGGUGGGGUAGUGGCUUACCAAGGCUUUGACGGGUAGCCGGCCUGAGAGGGCGACCGGCCACAUUGGGACUGAGAUACGGCCCAGACUCCUACGGGAGGCAGCAGGGGGGAAAAUUGCACAAUGGGCGGAAGCCUGAUGCAGCAACGCCGCGUGCGGGAUGACGGCCUUCGGGUUGUAAACCGCUUUCAGCAGGGGCGAAGCUUGUGGUGACGGUACCUGCAGAAGAAGCACCGGCUAACUACGUG
RNAcentral lists this ribosomal RNA (464 nucleotides) under uncultured bacterium. RNAcentral's name for it is "partial 16S ribosomal RNA". It matches the Rfam family "Bacterial small subunit ribosomal RNA", at positions 29 to 507 of the family's 1533-position model. The record is from RNAcentral.